GCCUAUUAAUUGUAGGCUAGAAUGAAAGGAUAAACGAGAAUACACCUGUCUCCUUUAAGCCCAUAAAAAUUUAUCUUUAAGUGAAGAAGCUUAAAUAAAAGUGCAGGACAAGAAGACCCUAUAGAGCUUUACCUAAAAGAUACAUAAACAGUAACUGACGGUUCGGUUGGGGCGACCAGGGGACACUUAUCACCCCUAAAAUAUAAGAUAUACUAAUCACACUAAAGAUCCUUUUUCAAGAUCAAAGAAUCAAGCUACCUUAGGGAUAACAGGCUAAUCCUCUUAGAGAGCCCUUAUCGACAAGAGGGGUUGGCACC
RNAcentral lists this ribosomal RNA (317 nucleotides) under Tubifex tubifex (sludge worm). RNAcentral's name for it is "partial 16S ribosomal RNA". It matches the Rfam family "Bacterial large subunit ribosomal RNA", at positions 1971 to 2525 of the family's 2925-position model. Lineage: Eukaryota; Metazoa; Annelida; Clitellata; Tubificida; Naididae. The record is from RNAcentral.